RNAcentral lists this ribosomal RNA (515 nucleotides) under uncultured bacterium. Its description in RNAcentral is "partial 16S ribosomal RNA". It matches the Rfam family "Bacterial small subunit ribosomal RNA", at positions 28 to 523 of the family's 1533-position model. The record is from RNAcentral.
GAUGAACGCUGGCGGCGUGCCCAAUACAUGCAAGUCGAGCGAAUGGAUUAAGAGCUUGCUCUUAUGAAGUUAGCGGCGGACGGGUGAGUAACACGUGAGUAACCUGCCCAUAAGACUGGGAUAACUCCGGGAAACCGGGGCUAAUACCGGAUAACAUUUUGAACCGCAUGGUUCGAAAUUGAAAGGCGGCUUCGGCUGUCACUUAUGGAUGGACCCGCGUCGAAUUAGCUAGUUGGUGAGGUAACGGCUCACCAAGGCAACGAUGCGUAGCCGACCUGAGAGGGUGAUCGGCCACACUGGGACUGAGACACGGCCCAGACUCCUACGGGAGGCAGCAGUAGGGAAUCUUCCGCAAUGGACGAAAGUCUGACGGAGCAACGCCGCGUGAGUGAUGAAGGCUUUCGGGUCGUAAAACUCUGUUGUUAGGGAAGAACAAGUGCUAGUUGAAUAAGCUGGCACCUUGACGGUACCUAACCAGAAAGCCACGGCUAACUACGUGCCAGCAGCCGCCGUAA